CUUUCGGACAAUAUACAAGGUGCUGCAUGGUUGUCGUCAGCUCGUGCCGUGAGGUGUCGGGUUAAGUCCCAUAACGAGCGCAACCCCUAUCAUUAGUUGCCAUCAGGUCAAGCUGGGGACUCUAAUGAAACUGCCUACGCAAGUAGUGAGGAAGGUGGGGAUGACGUCAAGUCAUCAUGGCCCUUAUGUCCAGGGCGACACACGUGCUACAAUGGCCGGCACAGCGGGAAGCGAAUGGGCGACCAUGAGCGGAUCCCCAUAAAAGCCGGUCCCAGUUCGGAUUGCAGUCUGCAACUCGACUCCAUGAAGUUGGAAUCGCUAGUAAUCGUGGAUCAGCAUGCCACGGUGAAUACGUUCCCGGGCCUU
RNAcentral lists this ribosomal RNA (366 nucleotides) under uncultured Sphingobacteriales bacterium. Its description in RNAcentral is "bacterial SSU rRNA". It matches the Rfam family "Bacterial small subunit ribosomal RNA", at positions 1018 to 1382 of the family's 1533-position model. The record is from RNAcentral. Lineage: Bacteria; Pseudomonadati; Bacteroidota; Sphingobacteriia; Sphingobacteriales.